Molecule: non-coding RNA, 250 nt
Organism: Lupinus albus (white lupine)
Lineage: Eukaryota; Viridiplantae; Streptophyta; Magnoliopsida; Fabales; Fabaceae
Source: the annotation of a GenBank genome assembly
CAGCCGUGUAGUAAGUGCAAAGCGAACUAUUCUUUCGCCUUUUACUAAAGAAUACCGUGUGCUUCUCACUUUAAACGGCAUACACCUAUUUUUUUGAAGAGCCUUCCUAUUUGGAGGGCACUGAAAUUCUAGUCUCAAAAUUAUUUUCCAUUGACGUAGGAGCUUUUACUUUAAAGAAAGAUGAGCCACCAGAACCAUUGUUAUGGCUAUCCUUGUUUCGACAUUAUUUUGUUAUUUACUCAAUUAAAUU